CUUUCACUUCCACCCUGUGUGAUUUAGGCAAGUGCUCAUUUUCUCUGACUUGCUACAUUCUCACCUGUAAAAGCAGCCUGAGGUUGUUGUGAAAACGGAAAGGAUGGUAUAAAUAAUGCCUAGCACAUUGCUUGGAACAUAGGACACACUCAAUGCCUGACAGCUCUUGAUAAGUGUGUUACUUCCUAUGUUCCCGAAUUUGAAUUGACUGUAUUGCAUUUGAGAAAAAAGAAGAGGCAAGAUUCCUCCCCACAACCUACAAACAAGCUCCUCUCUUAUCUAAUUUGGAAAUCAAGAAUGUUUUCUUUAAAAUUAAACCAUUUCUUUACUAUGCCACACGUGAAAGAGAGCUCUCUUUUAUAGGUGGAGAAAAAAGUCUGGUGUCACAAGACAGAAAAUACCUCUGGGAUUUUUUAUUCACGAAUAGCAUCAACAACUUGUGAUUCUCUCUUGCAGUCUCUUCCUCCCACCCUUGCCAUUGCAAAGGUGGGGCUAAAAGGAGGGACCUGGUGGGAGGUAACUGAAUCAUGGACGCAUGAUUGUGAGGCCUCCCCAGCCACCUGGAACUCUUCUAACAUAAACUAUAGCUUUUGAUGCCUCAUGUUCCCUUGGGACUUCUCAGGCUGCUUCCAUGAUCUGGCAUCCUGGACUCCGACUGAGAACAGUUAUUACCUCCUUGCUGAUUUCUGGAGCUGACCACACCUGGAAUUCCUUCUGCCAGCUCAGUUCUGUGCUGAAACAUCACCAUGCAAAUGGUCCCCAAAGUAGUCUUAUAUUUUAGGACCACAGCAGCAAACUGACAGCAAUGUAUAGCUUGUGCUCGUGUUUUGGUUGCUUGUACAGCCCACGCUGUGUUUGCAAAGGCAUUGUGAUUAGGCAAGAGUUAUGUUCCUCUAAAAACAAGCAGACUCACUGCCUAUUUUCCUAACAUAUUCCUGUUCCAUGGUUUAGUAUUAGCUAAAUGUUUCAGUUUUCUAUUAAUAUAUAGCAAACCACACUGAAACUUAGUGGCUUAAAACAGCAGUAAUUUUCCAAGGUUCUCUUGGUCAGGACUUUCUUGUCAGUUCUUUGCUCCUCAUUAUAUUGACUGAAGUUACUCAUAUAACUAGAGUCAGCUAGACACUGCUGGGGUUGGAACACUCAGCAUAGCUUGUUGACUUCCCAGGCCUCUCUUCACAUGGUCUCUAAUCAUUGAAUAGACUAGCACAAGCUUCCAUAAGCAUGGCUGCUGGUGACCACAAAAGAGAAGUGGAAAUAUUCAGUCUUCUUCAAUACUGAGUUAAAAGUCCCAGAACAUCAAUUCUACUGCAGUUGUUUAGUCAAAGCAAUUUACAGAACCAAUUUGAUAAUUUCAGGGAGAAGGAAAAUAUAUCUUAUCUUUCUAGUUGAGAAAUGGUAUAGAUGUACAGGGAGGGAAGGAAUUUAUGGUAGAUGAUGACUUAGGUGAUGACCUAUUGCACAUAUACAUGCCUUUCUAUAAGCAUUUGAAAUUGGGAGUCUUAUUUUUAGUUUUGAUGGGAAAAGUGUUCUUAGAGUUCUGGAAGUUUAUUAAUUUGUUCAUUUAGUAGAGAUUUUAUUUUACUUCUUGUUUGCUGGUUUAUUUUUUAAGUAUCCACUCUUUGCCUGACACUCUUUUAGGACAUGGAGAUACAGUAGUGAAGAAGAGAGAUGAGAUUCCUUCUUCUUUGGAAAUUAGAUUCUGUCAUCAAGAGAUAGACAAUAAAAAGUCAAUAAAUAAACAACAAAGAAUCUGACCAUAAAAUGUGCUUUCCAGAGAAUGUGUGUUAUGUAAUAGAGCAUGACUAAUUUUCUAAUGUUGAUUAGAAAGCUGAGUUAGGGUUCUACGAAGAAGAGAUAUUUAAGCCAAGAGCUGAGUGACAGGAAAAGCAAUAGCUAGUGUGAAGAUUUAAGGCAAUGACAAGCUUGAUAUGUUUUAGAAACAGUAGGAAGCCAGGUGCUGUUUAAAUACAUGAGCUAAAAAGGAAAGUGUCCGGCCUCUGAGCCCAAGCUAAGCCAUCAUAUCCCCUGUGACCUGCAAGUAUACAUCCAGAUGGCCUGAAGUAACUGAAGAAUCACAAAAGAAAUGAAAUUUAAAUGGCCUGUUCCUGCCUUACUGAUGAGAUUCCACCACAAAAGAAGUGAAAAUGGCUGGUCCCUGCCUUAACUGAUGACAUUACCUUGUGAAAUUCCUUCUCCUGGCUCAGCCUGGCUCAAAAGCUCCCCCACUGAGCACCUUGUGACCCCCACCCCUGCCAGCCAGAGAACAACCCCCUUUGACUGUAAUUUUCCUUUACCUACCCAAAUCCUAUAAAACAACCCCACCCCUAUCUCCCUUCGCUGACUCUCUUUUUGGACUCAGCCCGCCUGCACCCAGGUGAAAUAAACAGCCUUGCUGCUCACACAAAGCCUGUUUGGUGGUCUCUUCACAUGGAUACGAGUGAGAAAGUGGUGAGAAAGAGAGCAGAGGAGUAGCUGAUUAUAAAGUAAUGUGAUUAUGAAGGGCUCCGGAGGCAGUUUUCAAGAAUUUGGUUUCUAUUCCCAGUCUCAUGAAAGACAUCAGAGAAUUUUUAAGUAUGUUUCUAAUUUUCAUUUCUGAGGUCAACUCUGAGAAUUAGCUAAUGGUGUGGAUGUGGGAGGUGAGAAAAAAGUAAUUAAGGUUAACUCUCAGAGUCUUAUUUAAACAACCAAGUAGAUAAUGUACUAUUUACUGCAUUUAAGUAUGUUCAAGAAUGCACUGGCCCAUAUGGACAAAAAAACGUAUUUUUUUUGUCAUGUAAGUUUCAAAUGUUUACUAAUAUCCUUGUGGAGUUUCAACUUUCUGCCUAACAAUAAUGAAAUCCCCAGCAAGGUGAAGUUAUUAUUGUUGUUAGAACAAAAAUUACCUUGGAGUUUCAUGAAAAGUCACAGAAAGGUUUGAGUGGCUGCUUGUAGGUAUUGUUGGUAUACGUUGUAUAGGUUGUCAUAUGUUGUCACCUUUGCUGGUUAGAUUCUUUCCUGGGAAAGAGUAUAACUAACAUACUAGAGGCAGUGCUUUUUCGCUCUCCUUUUCUCUCUUCCUUUCUUUUCCCCACAAGUAUUUAAUCACCUAUUUUAACCAGAUAUUGAUCUUGACAUUGAAUACACUAGCUUGUAGUCUAAUUGAGGAGACAGAUGUAAUUAAAUAGUCCCUAAAAGGCCACAACUGGAGAUGUAUGUGACUAAGCAAAGAUCACUUCAACCCUUGGUAUAAAGGCCUCUGGGGAGAAGGUAAAACAUCUACACAGAGUUCAAUGAGUCUUCUUAGAGAAAAAGGACUGAAUAUGGUUUGGCUGUGUCCCCAGUCAAAUCUCAUCUUGAAUUGUAGUUCCCGUAAUCCCCACAUAUCAUGGGAGGGAACCAGUGGGUUGUAAUUUGAUCUGGGGGCAGUUACCCUCAUGCUGUUCUCUUGAUAGAGAAUGAGUUCUCAUGAGAUCUGAUGGUUUUAUAAGGUAUAAGGGGCUUUUCCCUCUUUUGGUUGGCACUUCUCCUUGCAGCCACCAUGUGAAGAAAGACCUGUUUGUUUCCCCUUCCACCAUGAUUAUGUUUCCUGCCCUCAAACAUCGGACUCGUUCUUCAGCUUUGGGACUCGGACUGGCUUCCUUGCUCCUCAGCUUGCAGACGGCCUAUUGUGGGACCUUGUGAUCCUCUCCGGCAGUAAACUGUACCUCAAAACUAGAAGAAAGGAAGAUUUAACAUGCAACCUUCGCUUCACCAUCUCUCUUCCUUCCCAUGUUCCAGAAGAUUCUGCAUAAUGAAAACACUGUAAUCUCUCAAGAAAUAUCUCAUAAAGAGUGCAUGAGAAAAUCCCUUCUCCCCAGAGCUUAUUUCUCUCGCAUUUUAAUUCUGAAUGAAGGGAUCAUAAAAGCAUAUCAAGAUCCAUGUUGCCCCACAAAGGACAUUCUGAGGCAACCUGAAUGCCCCCCCACCCACGUGAGAUAGCAAGUGAUUUUUAAGGGAUGGAGUAGGCUAUAAAAGGGAGUCACUGGGAGACAAAAGGAGUAAAUGGAAGAGGGAAAGGAAAGGAGAAGAAGAAGGCACUGAGGCUGGCGUCACAGUCUUGUAUGGAGGCAGAGUGAAUGGUGCAAUGAAAAGUUCCCAGAAGGGUAAAUCAGAGGACCCAUAUUUAAAUCUUGAAUUCCCUACCUAUUGGUUGCAUAAUGUUGAAUCCAUCACUUAAUCUUUUAAUCUUCAGCCUUCCCAUCUGUAAUACGUGAACAAUAAUUACACCUUUCUUAAAGAGUUACUGGAGGAAUUAAAUAUAAAUGUGUGAAUAAAACAUACAAAUUAUUUUAUAACAAAAAAAGAACUUUUUUUCUUUCUUCAAAUGAAGAUCCAAGCAGGAAGAGGGAAUCCACAGUGUGUAUGAAUGAGUGACUGCAUGUGUGUGUGUGUGUGUGUGUGUGUACGUGUUAUGUAAAACUUACUGCCAUAGAUGUUUGGGGAAAAUGUGUUUCCUUUUUAUGUUGAAGCUGUUAAUCAUUU
This 4500-nucleotide long non-coding RNA is filed under the name Homo sapiens (human). RNAcentral's name for it is "HSALNT0174405". The record is from RNAcentral. Lineage: Eukaryota; Metazoa; Chordata; Mammalia; Primates; Hominidae.